This 548-nucleotide ribosomal RNA is filed under the name uncultured Glomus. RNAcentral describes it as "SSU rRNA". It matches the Rfam family "Eukaryotic small subunit ribosomal RNA", at positions 548 to 1098 of the family's 1831-position model. The record is from RNAcentral. Lineage: Eukaryota; Fungi; Glomeromycota; Glomeromycetes; Glomerales; Glomeraceae.
UUGGAGGGCAAGUCUGGUGCCAGCACCGCGGUAAUUCCAGCUCCAAUAGCGUAUAUUAAAGUUGUUGCAGUUAAAAAGCUCGUAGUUGAAUUUCGGGGUCAGUAGGUUGGUCGUGCCACUGGUAUGUACUGGUCUCACUGAUUCCUCCUUCCUGAUGAGCUGUAAUGCCAUUAAUUUGGUGUUGCAGGGAAUCUGGACUGUUACUUUGAAAAAAUUAGAGUGUUUAAAGCAGGCUAACGCUUGAAUACAUUAGCAUGGAAUAAUGAAAUAGGACGUUCGAUCCUAUUUUGUUGGUUUCUAGGAUUGACGUAAUGAUUAAUAGGGAUAGUUGGGGGCAUUAGUAUUCAAUUGUCAGAGGUGAAAUUCUUGGAUUUAUUGAAGACUAACUACUGCGAAAGCAUUUGCCAAGGAUGUUUUCAUUAAUCAAGAACGAAAGUUAGGGGAUCGAAGACGAUCAGAUACCGUCGUAGUCUUAACCAUAAACUAUGCCGACUAGGGAUCGGAUGAUGUUAAUUUUAUAAUGACUCAUUCGGCGCCUUACGGGAAAC